This 492-nucleotide ribosomal RNA is filed under the name uncultured soil bacterium. Its description in RNAcentral is "bacterial SSU rRNA". It matches the Rfam family "Bacterial small subunit ribosomal RNA", at positions 26 to 517 of the family's 1533-position model. The record is from RNAcentral.
AGAUUGAACGCUGGCGGCAGGCCUAACACAUGCAAGUCGAGCGGUAGAGAGGUGCUUGCACCUCUUGAGAGCGGCGGACGGGUGAGUAAUGCCUAGGAAUCUGCCUAGUGGUGGGGGAUAACGUUCGGAAACGGACGCUAAUACCGCAUACGUCCUACGGGAGAAAGCGGGGGACCUUCGGGCCUCGCGCCAUUAGAUGAGCCUAGGUCGGAUUAGCUAGUUGGUGAGGUAAUGGCUCACCAAGGCGACGAUCCGUAACUGGUCUGAGAGGAUGAUCAGUCACACUGGAACUGAGACACGGUCCAGACUCCUACGGGAGCAGCAGUGGGAAUAUUGGACAAUGGGCGAAAGCCUGAUCCAGCCAUGCCGCGUGUGUGAAGAAGGUCUUCGGAUUGUAAAGCAACUUUAAGUUGGAGAAGGUUGUAACCUAAUACGUUGCAACUUUGACGUUACCGACAGAAUAAGCACCGGCUAACUUCGUGCCAGCAGCCG